GACGAACGCUGGCGGCGUGCUUAACACAUGCAAGUCGAACGGAAAGGCCCUGCUUUUGUGGGGUGCUCGAGUGGCGAACGGGUGAGUAACACGUGAGUAACCUGCCCUUGACUUUGGGAUAACUUCAGGAAACUGGGGCUAAUACCGGAUAGGAGCUCCUGCUGCAUGGUGGGGGUUGGAAAGUUUCGGCGGUUGGGGAUGGACUCGCGGCUUAUCAGCUUGUUGGUGGGGUAGUGGCUUACCAAGGCUUUGACGGGUAGCCGGCCUGAGAGGGUGACCGGCCACAUUGGGACUGAGAUACGGCCCAGACUCCUACGGGAGGCAGCAGUGGGGAAUAUUGCACGAUGGGCGGAAGCCUGAUGCAGCAACGCCGCGUGCGGGAUGACGGCCUUCGGGUUGUAAACCGCUUUCGCCUGUGACGAAGCGUGAGUGACGGUAAUGGGUAAAGAAGCACCGGCUAACUACG
RNAcentral lists this ribosomal RNA (466 nucleotides) under uncultured bacterium. Its description in RNAcentral is "partial 16S ribosomal RNA". It matches the Rfam family "Bacterial small subunit ribosomal RNA", at positions 28 to 505 of the family's 1533-position model. The record is from RNAcentral.